UGUUGACUGCUGAUAAAGGGAGCUUUGCAAAUAUAGCUAUAUAUGCUUCCUACGUAUGCGAGCAGCUAGAAGGAAAAAGCUCAUAGGUACCAAAAUCUUCGUUUGUAGCUACCACUAUUCCUUGUGAGGAACACUGAGAAGCGCUGGGACGUGAUCAUGGAGCGCUCUUCCACCCCCGCAGUACGCCGCGUUGCUCUCUUGCUGGCUCUCAUCGUAUGCUGUUCCAUGGUAUCCUCGACGGCGGCAACCCAAGUUUCUCUGCAUGGAAGCCGUGAGGGACAACGUCCUCCGUCGCCUUCGGCCUCGGGCGGGAGGUCCGUGAGGUGUCCAGGAUGCGGAAGAACUUCUUCGUUGCCGGCGACGGCCAGACAUUCGCCGCACCGGAAGAACCUGCAGGUUGCUGCGAACGUCAACUUCUACGCGUGAAUCGCAUGUGGAAGUUUUCAUUAUAUUUUUACUUUUGCCCCAAACCAAUGAGGAUAAGAGGAUGUUUUUUGCAUCACGAUAUUUGAAUUGGUAUGUGAGAAACAAAUAGCAUGUGCAAGUAUCUCGUGCAUAUUUAAAUUUUAAUAUAUACACGAAAAUAGCAUAGAACAAUUGUUCUAUGGUUCUUUUGCUUUUUGAUAUAAAGGACACUUUCAUUAA
Long non-coding RNA from Hordeum vulgare subsp. vulgare (domesticated barley), 645 nucleotides. RefSeq lists it as uncharacterized. The record is from RefSeq and is a predicted model, not a curated record. The transcript is spliced from 2 exons. NCBI's taxonomy places the organism in Eukaryota, Viridiplantae, Streptophyta, Magnoliopsida, Poales, Poaceae.